This is a small nuclear RNA of Naja naja (Indian cobra), 113 nucleotides long. The record is from Ensembl. NCBI's taxonomy places the organism in Eukaryota, Metazoa, Chordata, Lepidosauria, Squamata, Elapidae.
UUCAGCAACACAUAUAUUUAUUGAACAAUAUUUAAAAUGUAUCACUAUAAAGAAGAUUGGCAGGGUUGCUGCACAAGGAUGACAUACAAAAUUCAUAUUUUUGUAUUGUUUUA